UGCCAAUUCUGGAUGGAGGAGGAGAA
This 26-nucleotide non-coding RNA is filed under the name Mus musculus (house mouse). Lineage: Eukaryota; Metazoa; Chordata; Mammalia; Rodentia; Muridae. The record is from RNAcentral.